RNAcentral lists this ribosomal RNA (252 nucleotides) under uncultured bacterium. RNAcentral's name for it is "partial 16S ribosomal RNA". It matches the Rfam family "Bacterial small subunit ribosomal RNA", at positions 525 to 776 of the family's 1533-position model. The record is from RNAcentral.
ACGGAAGGUCCAGGCGUUAUCCGGAAUUAUUGGGUUUAAAGGGAGCGCAGGUGGUUUGAAAAGCUUGCCGUGAAAUGUCUCCGCUUAACGGAGGAAUUGCGGUGAGAACUGUCAGACUUGAAUCAGUGGAGCGUACAUGGAAUUUGUGGUGUAGCGGUGAAAUGCUUAGAUAUCACGAAGAACCCCGAAAGCGAAGGCAUUGUACGUCCGCUUAAUUGACACUGAGGCUCGAAGGUGCGGUUAUCGAACAGG